This is an RNA transcript of Hippocampus zosterae (dwarf seahorse), 4328 nucleotides long. RefSeq lists it as uncharacterized. The transcript is spliced from 4 exons. Lineage: Eukaryota; Metazoa; Chordata; Actinopteri; Syngnathiformes; Syngnathidae. The record is from RefSeq and is a predicted model, not a curated record.
CAGAUGUUCAAAAUGCCAUCUCUUCCAACAGUGCAUGUAAUCUUGUCUGUUUAAACAUAUCCGCGAUGCAGGCCUGAGGAUUUCAGAAAUUCACAGAAACAAUUUUUCGGUUCUGUUAGAUUACCCAAUGAGAAAUCACUGUAAGAUUUUGGGUUCCGUAAACGCUCAUCGUGGGAAGCCAUUUUUGUAUUUUGAUUGAUAUCCUUCAUCAAGAAUUCUGAUACUCAAAAGUAUAAUAUUUAAAGGAUAAAUGUUUGAAAACUUCGCAUUAACAAUAGAGGUAUCGGGCCGCCCAAGCCCGACCCGACCCGACUCGAAGUCGGGCCUUAAAAUGUCAAUCAUAGCUUCGGUUUCGGGUCGGGUCCGGCUUCUCUCUCGCUGACUUUUUUUUUGUUUCAAGGCCUUGAAUAGUUUUGGCCACGAGAGACAGUGGUUCGCAAAAAAAAAAAAAAAACAGAAGUCACCUCAUCACAACACAUACUGUACUAAAUUCUUGCAAUGACAAUUCAAAGACCUCCUUCCAGUCUCUGUCGAGAAUCCACCCGUCAUUGUUCGUCUUUGUCUCCCUACUACUCUCUCUUAAAGUGCCACGCUAGAUUCUUAAGAACGUACUGCUGCGGUGGUUUACGGCCCAAUUUUCAACCCGUCAAAAUGACGGACGGCCUUAAAUUUUUCCCGUCCACAAAAUCCGUCAAUGAUGGAAAAUUGUCGGUUAAUGUAACCUCUUCAGAAACAAAUAAAAGAUGUAAAUGUUUACACAUUCUUAUUUAACUUAGAUUUCGUUACAAAAGGCAGGCUUUGUUAUCAGAAAUCACCCCUCCUCCACCCGAGUCCUCACAAAUAAAAUGUGAAAUGUCGGGUUUGCUUCGGGCUCGGGCCUGCAAAUCAAGUUAAGUAAUCGGGCUCGGGUCGGGGUUAAAUACCCUCAGGCCGGUUCAGGUCGGGCUCGAUUUUUUAGGACCGAUCUUAGCUCUAAUUAACAAUGAACAUAAUUACAUCAGCAGCUGUCUACUUCAGGUUUAUUCAAUACAAUAAAAGGAGUAUUUUUUUCUCCACUCUCACACUGCAAAGAUUCAUUUACUGGUAAUUAUUAAGAAAUCUAUGACUCAUAUCAACCAACAACGGAAUCAUCUUGAUUUUUAAAACAGGAGAUGUUGAAACAAACUCCACAAUUAAAUGAUUCAACACUUAAUUGUUAACACAAUGCAGAAGUUAUUAAAAUUGCUCAAAAUCCAAAAAAACAGAACCCUUUCAAAGCAGUCAACACGCAAUGUUUUGUUUUUUUGGUCUGCAACGGUCUUCACCCUGGGCGGUUCUUCCAUGGCACGCACGACAUCCCUGAUCAUGGCGGCCCAAGCGCGGCGAUCCUGUGCAAGGUCAACCGACAGCUUCAGCCAGUCCUGGUUCCACCGUCUCAGACGGAAAGGGAGAAGCACAAGGAGUCCACAAGGAAAUGUCCGCACGAGGAACAAGAAGCUGCAGGAGAUGGCAACAGAGUCCACUGGUGUGUUGACGGCACGAACUUGCACUGGGGAAUGGUCUGCGAUUCAAUUUGUACCAGUCCAAACAAGCAGAAAGGCAACAGGUGGGUGAUGAGCUGAUGAGUCUCAGGUGUGAGGUGCAGAGCACCCUGACUGAGGAGGCUGCCUGGCUGGCCCCUCCCUAACACAUGCAUCACACGACAUCUUGGUAAUAGGCCCUUCUUCGUCUCGUCACAUUUUUUUUUUAAAUUGUUUUUAUUUAUAAAUCCUACUUCACGGAUUUCACUUAUCACUGGUUCUUUUUGGAACGUAACCCCCACGAUAACUGAGGGUUUACCGUCAACCCGUUUUGCCCAAAAUUAUUUUUAAGUCAUGGAUUAUCGCACAUGUUGGCAGGGGGGGAUAGUGUCUCUUGUCCAGAAACAUACAACUUUUGGUUUUAACCAAUGUUCGAAAAAAAAAAAUGAGGGGCUCGUUUUAAUACACAAGGUAAUUUGUACAGGAUGUAAAAUGGGGUCAGUUUCUUCGAGUUAUAUUUCCAUUUCAGAUAUUGCACAUGGGUUUCAUUAAAUUGAGCCAAAAUAAGGGGAAGCCAUUGUCACGUUCAGGCAAGCCGAAAUAAAGUUGGGAUCCCAGAAGUGUAGACACCAAACAAGGUCUCCGUAGCAAGAAGGGUUUAAUAUACAAAAAUCGCACGGCCAAAGAAGUAACAUAAAGUGCUGGUCGAAACAAGGACCAGAGGGCACAAAAACGAAUAACAAAAAGCGCUUGCACAAAAGGCAGGGGAGGAAAUAAUAAGAACCGCGAAGGCAAACAAAAAAAAAUGUAGUAGUGAUGGGUCCAGCGACACCGAUGCAUUGACACAUGCGCCGGGCUCACAGAGCAAACCACGUGUCGAUGCAUGUGCUGCUUCAUUACGUCACGUGAUUGACACACCGGCUGCGUUGACACAGUCCAGGCUUCUAAUUGACACACCGGCUGCGUUGACACAGUCCAGGCUGCUAAUUGACACAUCGACUGUGUUGACACAGUCCAGGCUGCUAAUUGACACAUCGGCUGCGUUGACACAGUCCAGGCUGCUAAUUGACACGUGAACUGCACCGGUGCAGUUUAGACUGCAUCGGCUGCUUGGCACAGUACAGGCUGCGCCACUUAGUCCAGGGGGCGUCGACUCAGUGCAGAGGGCGUUGACGCAGCAAAAGCCCGCCGCACAGUGUUUAUAAGGAAGUGCGUUUGGCGACACAAUGCCACCUGCCGAAACAAGCCAGACCUCACUCACGCUCGCUUGUCGAAGUUCGUGUCAGUGCAGACUUCGUGUUCGUGCCUUGCCUUCCUUGCCGAUUAUGGAGCAGAGACGCAAAUCAUCCGCCGUGUGGGACCAUUUUAAUGUCCUGGAGAAUAAGGUAUUAUUUAUUUAUUUAUUCAAAUCGCCUUCUGUCGCCGAGUGCCUCUCAGAUUAUUGACAUGUGUUAUACCAUUCUAAUCCGAAUACAUUUCAAGGUAACUCUUAGUUACUUCUUAUUCACAUUUCAUUAUAGGUGAAAUGUCGAAUUUGCCAGGUCGAAUUGUCAUACACCAACAGAAGCACCUCCACCAUGCUAAGGCAUUAUCGGGCCAAGCAUGAGAAUGAAGUUCGCGAUACACCCAGUGUUACGCCAGCUUCCAGGAAGCUGCUGCUCGAUCAGGCACUGCUGAACUUCAUUAUCAAGGACUGCCAGCCCCUCAGCAUUGUGGAGAGUGAAGGGUUCAAGGAGCUGAUUCAGGUCCUUGAACCCUCAUAUGUUUGCCGACAAGAAAGACCAUCAAGAAAAUGGUGGCCGAAAAAUAUAUGGAGGAACGGGAAAAAGUGAAAAUGGAAGUACAGCAAGCUGUGGCAGUGAGUAUAACGACUGACAUGUGGACCUCUGUGAACAUGGAGGCCUACUUGGCACUCACCUGUCACUACAUUAAUGCAAAUAUGCAGUUGUGUUCAUCAGUGUUGGGAGUACAAUAUUUUCCACAAAAUCACACUGCUGACAAUUUGGCCCAGGUCAAAAGGGGCAUGAUGGAGGACUGGGCCAUAACCAACAAAGUAAAGUGCCUUGUGACUGACGCAGCACCGAACAUGAUUGCAUCCACUAAACACCUCCAAAUACGCCACUCAAUUUGCAUUGCACAUAGUCUUAAUUCAUUAGUUAGAAAAUCGUGCAAUCAGGUCCCUGCACUUACAGACAUUAGGAACAAAGCUCGGCACAUUGUUACAUAACACCGUUCAAGCACUAUAGCCAAGGAGAAGCUUGCUCAGGUGCAGCAACAGAUGGGACGUCCAACCCUGAAACUUAUCAAUGAGGUGCCAACACGCUGGAACAGUACCUAUGAAAUGCUGUCAAGGCUGCAUGGUGAGAGGGAACCAGUGUGGGUAUCUCUGGCCUCCCUAAAGACAGAUUUGGCUCCACUGACAGCUGAUGAGUUCACCAUCAUAGGAGAAGCACUACUUGUGCUUUCUCCAUUCCAUCAAGCUACAGUGGAGUUGUCUGAAGAGAGGAAAGUUUCAGGUUCGAAGGUCAUCCCGAUGAUGAAAAUGCUUUAUCAUGCACUUGAGCGCCACGCUUCAACCCUGCACACACAGCCAGUCUUACAACUCCACGAACACCUCAAGCGUCGAGUCACAGACACUGCUUCCAGUUUGCAGUCUAUGAGUGUGUUAACCUUAGCAACACUUCUAGACCCCAGAUUCAAAUCACUUGGAUUCCGCAGUUCCUCCAGGUGCACCGAGGCCAUAUCCAGACUGCGGGCUGAGUGCAUGCGUGCCAUUGGGUGCACAAUCUAGGCCCAGGCUGGACCAUCAUCGCAGCCCUCUGCAACUAC